ACUGUGGUUUUCUUUCAUGCACAUGUGUAGGUUUCGUAAUGAGUGGUGGUUCAAAGGCUAAAGGAAAGAACGUUACUUCACAAGAUGAUGGAGGAGAACGGGACGGGAGGUCACUUCCAAAAGAAAUAAGAACAAACCUGGAAAAUCAUGUGCCUCUUCUUCUUCUUCUCAUUUUGGGUGAAGGGAGGGGCAAUACUUGGGGAUCACAAGCUAAUGUUCGGGGACAAGCAAUGAACAGAGAGAGUAUGGUAAUAACAAUGUCACUCCAUCCAGUAAAUCCCUCUCCUCUGGAAGGAGCAGGUCCUGACGUUGAUGACGUACGUUGUGGGUAAUGUCUCUGAGGAAGAGGAUGAUUACGAUAGUUUGGAUGAUUCUGAUGAAGAUUACGACGACUACGACUCUGGAAGGAGCAGGUCCUGACGAUAGUUUGGUCAUCAUUAUGAAUACUAUGCUCGACAAUGAUAAGUAUAUGGGUAUGGGCAACUCGGAGCUACUGGAAUACUUCAACGAGUAUCCGCAUGCCAUUCCUAUGGUCCAGAGGGCCACCGUGGGAUGAGUGUCCUGAUCUUUGAGAGUAGCGCCUCAGGCUAUUUUGAAGCUGAGUGCCUACACAAGGACUUGGCUGAGAAAGGAUUAGAUAGAAAUGGCAAUUUUUUUUCUGGAGGUGUUCGCCAGCUAUAUGGAUUUAUAGCAACCAAAAAAGAUAUGGAUGAAUUCAAUGAACACUGUCAAGGUUCUCUCCCUUACAAAAUGAUUUAUGUUUUCAAGCCUUGUUGGUCCUUGUGAGUGUAGUAUGAGCAAGAAGCUGCGUAGAACCGCAGAGGAUAACCGUAUCGUAAGAUGCAGCAUGAGCAGAACAGAGAAGAGAUGGAUGCACAAGAAAGGUUUUUCUCAGAGUCCAUAAAGCAGAUACAUAUGACAAUAGAGUUCCAAAGGAGGAGGAUUUCAAUAUGUUGCAGCAGGAGGAGCGUGCCAAAGUUUUGCACCAGCAGCAGAAGAAUAGCACUAAUCUCUCCAGCAAAGAUGAUAUACGAAAGAGAGCUGCAGAGGUUUCAAGUUUCAUGGAGUUACAAGAGAAAGAAAAAGAGCAUGAGAAGAAGAUGAUAGAGAUGCAGAAGAAGCAUACCGAGGAGAUGCUUGACUUGGAGAGAGAUUUUGAUAAGUCUUUGGAGGAGUUCAUGAACAAGCAUUGCCUUCACGGUGCACACGACUGAGAUCAGCCCACUACACACAAAACUACUAUUUUUUCAUGUUCUGCUUUUGGGUUUUGGCAU
Long non-coding RNA from Raphanus sativus (radish), 1274 nucleotides. RefSeq lists it as uncharacterized. The transcript has 4 exons. The record is from RefSeq and is a predicted model, not a curated record. NCBI's taxonomy places the organism in Eukaryota, Viridiplantae, Streptophyta, Magnoliopsida, Brassicales, Brassicaceae.